UACGAAGGGGGCUAGCGUUGUUCGGAAUUACUGGGCGUAAAGCGCACGUAGGCGGCUUUGUAAGUUAGAGGUGAAAGCCCGGGGCUCAACUCCGGAAUUGCCUUUAAGACUGCAUCGCUCGAAUUGUGGAGAGGUAAGUGGAAUUCCGAGUGUAGAGGUGAAAUUCGUAGAUAUUCGGAAGAACACCGGUGGCGAAGGCGGCUCACUGGCUCGUAACUGACGCUCAUGCACGACAGCGUGGGGAUCAAACAGG
Molecule: ribosomal RNA, 253 nt
Filed under: uncultured bacterium
Lineage: Bacteria
Description: partial 16S ribosomal RNA
Rfam family: Bacterial small subunit ribosomal RNA
Source: RNAcentral